Molecule: long non-coding RNA, 734 nt
Filed under: Dermacentor andersoni
Lineage: Eukaryota; Metazoa; Arthropoda; Arachnida; Ixodida; Ixodidae
Description: uncharacterized LOC126528960
Source: RNAcentral
GGGAGCGGCUUCGGGCUUCCCAGUGUUGCUGCCUCGUUGCAAGUUUCGGCCCCGAGGGAAGCUGCUGCCUGGUGUGGUGGUGUAGUGGAGGGGGCAAAAGUUUUUCUCGUGCGCCAUCGGCCGGAAGAAGUGGGGGUUGCUCUAGCGAACAAGUUUUGUUGUCUUCUGUUUGGUGUUGGAGUGCUCGCUGGCUCGUUGAUGGGCCCUUGGGACGAACCUUUUGCCUCGUGGCGUCGUCGCAACCGUGAGUGUGUGCCUUGUCUUCCACUGGCGCCCGUUCGUAAAGCGAGCGCGGACGUACCGUCCCGUCGCGGCGUGGCCUAGGCGCAGCUGUUCGCUUCGGCGCGGGUGAAACCGUCCCGUCGGAUUCGUUCGAAGGAAGCUCGACCUCGGAGCGCGCUCGCGCUGGUGUCGUUUCGACGAAGCGCGACCAAAAAAACAGAAAUACGGAGAGAAGCCUUCUCCCAAGCGAAAGCAAGUGCAAGAUCGCCGCCGCAGCUGUGUAGGGGUACGCCCAGCUGCCACCGUUGUGGUUCCAGAGAAAGGAUCGGUCGCCACAGCCUUGGACUGAACACCGUUCACCGACUGUAAACAGAACGCUUCUACCAGUGGCCAGACAGUUGCCCAGACUUUGCUCUGUAGAACUCGCAGCGAGAUCGGAGCGCAGGCCUGCAAAGCCUGAUUGAUCCGAGAGGCGUCCCUUUUCCUCCCGUCCUUUCGGUCUCGCGAUACCC